CCACUCUUUUUUUUUUUUUUUUUCUCUCUCUCCCAUACUUCCUUCACCCUUUCUUUUUUUAUUUGUUUUUUUCUCUCAACAUUUUUUUUUUUAUUUUUGUCUAUAUCACGUGUAAAAUUUUAUUAUAUGAACUAACCUUAUUUUUUAAUAGUCGAUAUAACAAAAUUAAAAUUUCAUACGGUAUAAAAAAAAUUGUACACCAAGUGUAUAAAACAUGCUUAUAUACAAUUUAUAAUUUGAUUUUUUUUUUAUUUUUACCUAUAUCAAGUAUAAAAUUUUAGCGCAUACACCAAUUCUAUUUUUUAAUAGUCUCCUCAAGGAAAGCGGUGGGACCCACUUUUUUUCUCUCUCAUACUCUCUCUCUCUCACACCCUAUACCCCCCCCUCCUCCUCUUUUUUUCUCUCAACACCUUUUCUUUUUUGUUUUUUCCUACACAAGUUUAAAAUUUUAUCAUAUAGAUCAACCUUAUUUUNCUUAUUUUUUAAUAGUCGAUAUAACAAAAUUAAAAUUUCAUACGGUAUAAAAAAAAUUGUACACCAAGUGUAUAAAACAUGCUUAUAUACAAUUUCUCAACACCUUUUCUUUUUUGUUUUUUCCUACACAAGUUUAAAAUUUUAUCAUAUAGAUCAACCUUAUUUUUUAAUAAUUGAUAGUGUACAGCAACCACUUCAAAUAAAGAGGUGGGGCUCACUCCACUUUUUUUUUCUCUCUCUCACUCUCCCUCACUCUCUCACACAUUGUACACCGAGUGUAUAAGACGUGCACAUGUAUUGCAUAUGAUAAAGUUUAGCUUUCUAUCUAUCUAUAUCCAUACACCCUACACACACCCUACACCCUACACCCUACACCCUACACCUCUAUAAUCCUAUUUUUUAAUAUUCAAUAUAACAAAAUUAAAAUUUCAUACGGUGUAAAAAAGUUGUACACCGAAUUUAUAAGAUAUGCUCAUAUACACGUCUUUGACAGUAUCAAAGAGAACUUAUAUACUUU
Molecule: long non-coding RNA, 991 nt
Filed under: Ananas comosus (pineapple)
Lineage: Eukaryota; Viridiplantae; Streptophyta; Magnoliopsida; Poales; Bromeliaceae
Description: long non-coding RNA (ACOM_LNC024832)
Source: RNAcentral